CCUACGGGAGGCAGCAGUGAGGAAUAUUGGUCAAUGGGCGCGAGCCUGAACCAGCCAAGUAGCGUGAAGGAUGACUGCCCUACGGGUUGUAAACUUCUUUUAUAAAGGAAUAAAGUGAGGCACGUGUGCCUUUUUGUAUGUACUUUAUGAAUACGGAUCGGCUAACUCCGUGCCAGCAGCCGCGGUAAUACGGAGGAUCCGAGCGUUAUCCGGAUUUAUUGGGUUUAAAGGGAGCGUAGAUGGGUUGUUAAGUCAGUUGUGAAAGUUUGCGGCUCAACCGGAAAAUUGCAAUUGAUACUGGCAGCCGGGAGUACAGUUGAGGUAGGCGGAAUUCGUGGUGUAGCGGUGAAAUGCUUAGAUAUCACGAAGAACUCCGAUUGCGAAGGCAGCUUACUAAACUGCAACUGACAUUGAUGCUCGAAAGUGUGGGUAUCAAACAGGAUUAGAUACCCUAGUAGUC
Molecule: ribosomal RNA, 460 nt
Filed under: uncultured bacterium
Lineage: Bacteria
Description: partial 16S ribosomal RNA
Rfam family: Bacterial small subunit ribosomal RNA
Source: RNAcentral